AAAGUGCGAUAAGCAAUGCGAAUUGCAGAAUUCCGCGAAUCAUCAGAUCCUUGAACGCAACUGGCGCUAGGGGGCUCUCCCUCUAGCAUGUCUGUUUCAGUGUCUGAAAACAUCAUAUCUUAUCUUAAUGUGAUUGACAAAGAGAAGAAACUUCUUCUCCUAGUCUCUCAUGAAAGAUGACAUGUGUGGGUCUUUGGCCCCCUCAUCGAAUUUGGUCACUGGUCUCUUCAGUGAUUUCGAUAGGUGGGAAAAAUAAUCCAAUUACCCUUUCUUCUUUGAAAGAAACACAUGUGCCUUAUAAAAUCAUAUUUAGUUAUGAUUUUCAUCAUCAAACUCUGCAUCUGAAAUCAGGCAAGAACACCCGCUGAACUUAA
This 374-nucleotide unclassified non-coding RNA is filed under the name uncultured fungus. RNAcentral's name for it is "sequence contains ITS1". The stretch from base 1 to 105 matches the Rfam family "5.8S ribosomal RNA", at positions 50 to 154 of the family's 154-position model. The record is from RNAcentral. Lineage: Eukaryota; Fungi.